Molecule: long non-coding RNA, 527 nt
Organism: Fundulus heteroclitus (mummichog)
Lineage: Eukaryota; Metazoa; Chordata; Actinopteri; Cyprinodontiformes; Fundulidae
Exons: 2
Source: RefSeq, a predicted model, not a curated record
CACACACACACACACACACACGUACGUACCCAGGAAGCCAUCUGUAAGGACGUCUUCAGCUCGCUGCUGAUGGUGAACAUGAGCAAGCAGAGCAGGAUCCAGCUGAUGCUGAUGCCCAGGUAGCCGCUCAGGUACACCGGGUAGAUGACCACCAGGACCCGGCCGAGGUAGAUCAGGAACUCCAUCAUGAUGCGGUUGACGGCGGACGGGGUCAGGCUCUCUGCGCUGCCGGGGACCGCGCCGUUCUCCUGCGCGCCCGGACGCGCCAGCGCCGGGGAGGCCAUUCCGCUGAGGUUCCGCUGCGCGGUUCUGGGCUCCGGGGAAAGUUCUUGGGCUCUGGGCCGUGCCGACUGGAUGACAGCACGGAGCGUUGCUUCAGUCCGCAGGAGAACCACCGCCUGCCUGGAAACUUCCGUGUUUUUGACUGACGAAAAGCAGGUAGACACACCUGCAGCCUGACACACCUUCAGCCAUGGCUGGAAAAACCGGAUUCCUGUAAAAAAAAAAAAGAAAAAAAAAACAAUGGA